This 469-nucleotide ribosomal RNA is filed under the name uncultured bacterium. RNAcentral describes it as "bacterial SSU rRNA". It matches the Rfam family "Bacterial small subunit ribosomal RNA", at positions 335 to 795 of the family's 1533-position model. The record is from RNAcentral.
ACUCCUACGGGAGGCAGCAGUGAGGAAUAUUGCGCAAUGGGGGCAACCCUGACGCAGCAACGCCGCGUGAGUGAGGAAGGUUUUCGGACCGUAAAGCUCUGUCGAGUGGGAAGAAAUGUAACGUGGCUAAUAUCCAUGAUACUUGACGGUACCGCUAAAGGAAGCACCGGCUAACUCCGUGCCAGCAGCCGCGGUAAUACGGGGGGUGCGAGCGUUGUUCGGAAUUAUUGGGCGUAAAGAGCGUGUAGGCGGCUGAAUAAGUCAGAUGUGAAAUCCCUGGGCUUAACCCAGGAAGUGCAUUUGAAACUAUUCAGCUUGAGUAGGGGAGAGGAAAGUGGAAUUCCUGGUGUAGAGGUGAAAUUCGUAGAUAUCAGGAGGAACACCGGUGGCGAAGGCGACUUUCUGGCCCUAUACUGACGCUGAGACGCGAGAGCGUGGGUAGCAAACAGGAUUAGAUACCCUGGUAGUC